CAUCACCUACGGGAGGCAGCAGUGGGGGAUAUUGCACAAUGGGGGAAACCCUGAUGCAGCGACGCCGCGUGAGUGAAGAAGUAUUUCGGUACGUAAAGCUCUAUCAGCAGGGAAGAAAAAUGACGGUACCUGACUAAGAAGCCCCGGCUAACUACGUGCCAGCAGCCGCGGUAAUACGUAGGGGGCAAGCGUUAUCCGGAUUUACUGGGUGUAAAGGGAGCGCAGGCGGCAUGGCAGGUCUGAUGUGAAAACCCGGGGCCCAACCCCGGGAGUGCAUUGGAAACUGCCAGGCUGGAGUGUCGGAG
This 305-nucleotide ribosomal RNA is filed under the name uncultured bacterium. RNAcentral describes it as "bacterial SSU rRNA". It matches the Rfam family "Bacterial small subunit ribosomal RNA", at positions 333 to 654 of the family's 1533-position model. The record is from RNAcentral.